RNAcentral lists this long non-coding RNA (1027 nucleotides) under Aotus nancymaae (Ma's night monkey). Its description in RNAcentral is "lncRNA (ENSANAG00000038806.1)". Lineage: Eukaryota; Metazoa; Chordata; Mammalia; Primates; Aotidae. The record is from RNAcentral.
UUUCUACUGUAUUUUUUAUGUUGGGGCUUAUCAAGUAUGAAUUAGUGGAAAUCUUUAGGGUGAGAUAUCAGGCCAUAGUGAGAGGGCAUAAGCAGAUGACACUACUGUCACAAAGCCAGUAUUUUAUCAUUUCAGAGAAGUGGGCUGACCUGACUUGUUUGUGCAGUUUUAGGCAUCAGGGGAAUUAGCAGAGAUUUGAAGAGAGAGGCAACACACAGAGAGAGAGAAGACAAAGAGAAGGAAGGAAGACAGAGAGACAGAGGGAGAAAAGGAUUGAGGAAAAGAAAGUGGGGGAACAGAGGAGGAGGAGGGAAAAGAGAAAGAGAGACAGACAGAAACCGAGACAGCGAAAGUGUGAUAACAUAAACAGAGAAGCAAACAGAAAGAUGGGAGAGACACCAAGAGAGAGAAGGAGACACAUACGUGAAGAGUUAGAUGUGCACACAUGAGCGUGUCUCCGGGAAGAAGAAAGGUUCUGUGGAUGAGGCAUGGUGCCUGGCACAGACUGACACACAUUGGGACAAACUUGGCAGAGCAGCCAGAGCCAAAGCAAAAAACAGAAAUGAACCAAGAUACAACCUUUGUGGAAAACUCUUUUGAACAAAAGCAACUCUGUGGAGUAUCCUCUCAGCUGCAAAGUGAGACAGAAUUACGGGACAAGCUUGGCCACUGAUAGAGGGACUUUACCAUGGCUCCACAGAGCUGCAGCCUCCUUCUGGAAGACCUCCCCCCAUGUCACUGGCAGCUUCCUCCUCAUCCUUCAAGGCACAGCCCGCAUGCCAGCUUUGGUGAAGUCUCUCCUCUUUCCAGACAUACUUAUUGUUCUGGGCUCUGGCUGAGUUACCACAGCAUCCAUGUUUUUCAUCACAUUUCACAGUGUGACUGAUGUGAUUUAGCUCCAUAACAGGUGGGUACAGGAUGUCUUUCUUCUCUGGCACCUCCAGCAUAAUCUGUAGUGGGUCAGAUCUUCCCAAAACUAGGCAAGUAUUACUUCUGCAAGGCUUCAGAAAUCCAGAGAGUCUUAACG